UACGAGGGGGGCAAGCGUUGUUCGGAAUUAUUGGGCGUAAAGGGUGCGUAGGCGGUUUGGUAAGUCUUAUGUGAAAUCUACAGGCUCAACUUGUAGUCUGCAUGAGAAACUGCCGGGCUUGAGUAUGGGAGAGGUGAGUGGAAUUCCUGGUGUAGCGGUGAAAUGCGUAGAUAUCAGGAGGAACACCUGUGGCGAAAGCGGCUCACUGGACCAUAACUGACGCUGGUGCACGAAAGCUAGGGGAGCAAACAGG
RNAcentral lists this ribosomal RNA (253 nucleotides) under uncultured bacterium. RNAcentral describes it as "partial 16S ribosomal RNA". It matches the Rfam family "Bacterial small subunit ribosomal RNA", at positions 524 to 776 of the family's 1533-position model. The record is from RNAcentral.